Molecule: long non-coding RNA, 219 nt
Filed under: Lathyrus oleraceus (garden pea)
Lineage: Eukaryota; Viridiplantae; Streptophyta; Magnoliopsida; Fabales; Fabaceae
Description: Pisum sativum (pea) long non-coding RNA (PSAT_LNC005049)
Source: RNAcentral
UAAAAUAGAAUUAAAUAAAAUUAAUUUAAAAUAAAAUGACGGUACAAUGCAAUAUGGUUAUCCGACUAACUUCGCUUCCGACACCAUUUCCGAUUAAAAUCUCCCAACCAGAUCAAACAAACCAAAGUUCCUGAUUACAACUCAAAAUUCAAACUUGACGGCCGGCUGUAAACAAAUGACCGUUUUGCCCUUCAUAAGCUAAAGAGCGCACCACGCGAU